GAAAUGCGAUAAGUAAUGUGAAUUGCAGAAUUCAGUGAAGCAUCGAAUCUUUGAACGCACAUUGCGCCCCUUGGUAUUCCGAGGGGCAUGCCUGUUCGAGCGUCAUUACACCACUCAAGCUAUGCUUGGUAUUGGGUGCCGUCCUUAGUUGGGCGCGCCUUAAAGACCUCGGCGAGGCCUCACCGGCUUUAGGCGUAGUAGAAUUUAUUCGAACGUCUGUCAAAGGAGAGGACUUCUGCCGACUGAAACCUUUUAUUUUUCUAGGUUGACCUCGGAUCAGGUAGGGAUACCCGCUGAACUUAAGC
Molecule: unclassified non-coding RNA, 305 nt
Filed under: plant metagenome
Description: partial contains 5.8S ribosomal RNA, internal transcribed spacer 2, and large subunit ribosomal RNA
Rfam family: 5.8S ribosomal RNA (bases 1-105)
Source: RNAcentral